UUUUAAUCCGAAAUUUGGUACAAAAUCGUUUAUUAAUUUUUGGAAACACAAGAGAGAAGAGUACAGUUGUCUUUCUCAAAGAAAUCUAUUGCUUGUAAAUUGUUCAACCACUGAAAUUGCGUCUGACAAUAAUCCUGAUGCCACGAGUUCAGUUAAGUACGAUAAUGACGAAACUUUGGAAGUUAAGGCUGAAGUAGCCCAAGAUCAAGAGGACAAAGAAAUUGUAUGCCAAAAACGUUAUGAAACAUACGACACGAAACUGUGUACCUUAGAUAUAAAAGAAUCUUCUGGUUUAACUCUUAAGAAACUACCGACCAAGAAGAAGCAGAAAAUUCAAGAUACAAAACCGGAAAUGAAAUAUAAAUGCGAAAAGUGUGCGCGAAGCUAUAGAACCAAAUAUUGUUUGAAUUAUCAUCAAAGAUUCGCAUGCGACGCCACGCCCAAGUUCAAAUGUACAUUUUGCGACAGGCGAUUCAAACGGAAAAGUCACGUGAGUCGCCACGUUGAUUUUGUACAUCUUAAAAUAAAUGAACUAACGUCGAAAACGAGGCAUUUUUGUGACAAAUGUUCUCGAAGUUAUAUUUGGCCAAAUGAUUUAACUCGACAUAAACGUUUAGAACACGGAACAGUUAAACCACAAUAUGAUUGCGAUAUUUGUGAUUAUAAAGCGAAAGAAAAAGCUAACUUGUCAAAACAUAUAACGUCACGUCAUUUCAAGUUAUUUAAUACGUGAAGCUUUAAUAUUUGUAAAAUUUAUAAUACUAAUUGAAAAAUAAAAAAGAAAUUAUUUUAUUUCAAUAUUUAGGGAAUUUCGAAUACAAAUUGAAAACUUUAGUUUUCAAGAUUACUUUUCCUGAAAAUGUCUUUAUAGGAAUUAAUGGCUAAGUGCAUUUUUAUUUUUUAAAUCUUCAGGAAAAUAACUUUUAUAAUAUAUAAUUACAUAAUUAUAUUGAAUAAUUAAAUGCCUUUUAAAUUAAAAUUAAAUUCACGGUAAUACAGUUGUGUAUGUUAACAAACUGCGGAGAAAAUGGAAGCAGAAAAUUGAAGAAUCAGAAGAAGUAAGCAUGCCACAAGUAUGUAUGAUGUUAUCCACAGAAAAUUAAUUUGAAUUUUAAUAAAAAAUACCGUUUCGGCUUCAGGCCACAAUUAAUAUUUAAAUUCUGCGAAAACCCAACUGUAAUUAUAUCUUAUAUCUUGCUUUAAAUAUUGAAGUUUUGUGAACUGAAUCGUAACUAGUAAUAAAAAGAAAUAAAUGCAUUCGAU
Long non-coding RNA from Belonocnema kinseyi, 1263 nucleotides. RefSeq lists it as uncharacterized. Lineage: Eukaryota; Metazoa; Arthropoda; Insecta; Hymenoptera; Cynipidae. The transcript is spliced from 2 exons. The record is from RefSeq and is a predicted model, not a curated record.